RNAcentral lists this non-coding RNA (29 nucleotides) under Mus musculus (house mouse). The record is from RNAcentral. Lineage: Eukaryota; Metazoa; Chordata; Mammalia; Rodentia; Muridae.
UGGUUAUUCAAAGGAAACAGAUAUGGGGA